CUUGAGUCUUUGUGAACCUUACCUGAGUGGUAUCCAUCCUAAGUGUGUGGAUUUAAUCAACCAAGCAAGAGAAGAAAGCAACCAUAGGAAGAAGAGGCGCCGGCGGGUGGUUCAUUCCAGUUUUGAUGUUGAAUUCGGUUUUAAUGGUUAACUGAGCCCGGGAAUCAGCGUGAGCAGCUAGAGGAAGGUCCUAACAGUUUGCAUUAGUGGAUGAGUAUUUCGGGAAAAAGGGGAGGGCUUCAAGUUCUACUCAACAAAAACACCAUGUUCCACAAGCUCGUCUCUACCAGUAUCUACCAGAGCAGACUCUUCUUUAUCAGGUCAAAGGAGUUUCUGCAGCAGAGGAGAAGAUUACGAGGCACAGUUUCUUGAUGGAGAACUGAUUAUAUAAAUAAUCGAAAUUCAUAAGAGCGCGUAUGCUGCUAUGGCUUAUUAUAUAAAUAAAAGUAUGAGCAAUAUCCUCGUGUAUGAUAAUAAGUAAAUAUUUUCUAUGUAGUACUGGACUGGAUUGUACAACAAACAAUUUUAGCUUCCCUUUCUUCUUUACUACUGUCUUUUGUACUCUGUGCUGAUGCCUAAUAAAAUAUGCACAGUUAAUGAUAGAAUCCCUUGUACACAUCUCCAAGUGAUGGAACAGUUUCAGGGUUGUAGCAGAUUUCUUUAACGCUUCUGGUAUGUGAAUAUUAAACUGUUUUCCAUUUUAAAAAUGAAUUUAAUGCAAAU
RNAcentral lists this long non-coding RNA (723 nucleotides) under Olea europaea subsp. europaea. The record is from RNAcentral. Lineage: Eukaryota; Viridiplantae; Streptophyta; Magnoliopsida; Lamiales; Oleaceae.